RNAcentral lists this ribosomal RNA (505 nucleotides) under uncultured bacterium. RNAcentral describes it as "bacterial SSU rRNA". It matches the Rfam family "Bacterial small subunit ribosomal RNA", at positions 21 to 518 of the family's 1533-position model. The record is from RNAcentral.
GGCUCAGGACGAACGCUGGCGGCGUGCCUAACACAUGCAAGUCGAGCGGAGUUAACAAGAGGAAGUUUCGGAUGGAAUUUGUUAAUUAGCGGCGGACGGGUGAGUAACGCGUGAGCGACCAACCUUGCACAGGGGGAUAACGGACCGAAAGGUUCACUAAUACCGCAUGAGACCACGGUGUUGCAUGACACAGAGGUCAAAAGGAGCAAUCCGGUGCAAGACGGGCUCGCGUCCGAUUAGGUAGUUGGUGGGGUAAUCGGCCCACCAAGCCUAUGAUCGGUAGCCGACCUGAGAGGGUGAUCGGCCACAUUGGAACUGAGAUACGGUCCAAACUCCUACGGGAGGCAGCAGGUGGGGAAUAUUGGGCAAGUACGGGGGAAACCCUGACCCAGCAACGCCGCGUGAAGGAAGUAAGGUUUUCGGAUUGUAAACUUCUGUCCUUGGUGAAGAGAAGAAGACGGUAGCCAAGGAGGAACGCCCCGGCUAACUACGUGCCAGCCGCCGC